GCUGGGUGUGGUGGCGUGCACCUGUAAUCCCAGCUACUCAGGAAGCUGAGGCAGGAGAAUUGCUUGAACCUGGGAGGCAGAGGUUGCAGUGAGCUGAGACCAUGCCACUGCACUCCAGCCUGGGCAACAAGAGCAAGACUCUGUCUCCU
Molecule: non-coding RNA, 149 nt
Filed under: Nomascus leucogenys (northern white-cheeked gibbon)
Lineage: Eukaryota; Metazoa; Chordata; Mammalia; Primates; Hylobatidae
Source: Rfam by way of RNAcentral